Long non-coding RNA from Gorilla gorilla gorilla (western lowland gorilla), 334 nucleotides. RefSeq lists it as uncharacterized. Lineage: Eukaryota; Metazoa; Chordata; Mammalia; Primates; Hominidae. The record is from RefSeq and is a predicted model, not a curated record. The transcript is spliced from 3 exons.
AUGGUCUUGAUCUCCUGACCUCGUGAUCCGCCCGCCUCAGCCUCCCGAAGUGCUGGGAUUACAGGGGAUGAACAAUCAAUACAUCCGUCGAGAAGUCUUCUGCUGUGGAACUUGUCAUGAGCUCAAAAGCUUCUGGGAAAAAGAAAUUAGCAAACAGACUUUUUACCGAGAACUGGAGGAAGAUUGUCAGGAAAGAAGCGCCCUAAAAAAUCUCCCCCAGCGAACUGUUUGAAGACAUGAUUGCAGCAGCCACAGGACUCAAAACCAGGAUACCACCAGGAGCUGGGGAAGCGAGGCUCCCUGUGGUCUCUCCUUCAGCCUCGAGGCCACCCAC